RNAcentral lists this transfer RNA (73 nucleotides) under Stegodyphus mimosarum. It matches the Rfam family "tRNA". From Rfam's summary of the family: Transfer RNA (tRNA) molecules are approximately 80 nucleotides in length. Their secondary structure includes four short double-helical elements and three loops (D, anti-codon, and T loops). The record is from Rfam by way of RNAcentral. Lineage: Eukaryota; Metazoa; Arthropoda; Arachnida; Araneae; Eresidae.
GCCUUCGUGGUGUAGUGGUCAGCACGCUCGACGCGUAACCGAGAGGUCCGUGGUUCGAGUCCCGGCGAAGGCG